CCCAGUGUUCAGACUACCUGUUCAGGGUCUUACUGGUGUACAGUAGUCUGCACAUUGGUU
This is a microRNA precursor of Gasterosteus aculeatus (three-spined stickleback), 60 nucleotides long. NCBI's taxonomy places the organism in Eukaryota, Metazoa, Chordata, Actinopteri, Perciformes, Gasterosteidae. The record is from Ensembl.